GAUGAACGCUGGCGGCGUGCUUAACACAUGCAAGUCGAACGAAGCACCUUGAUUUGAUUCUUCGGAUGAAGAUCUUGGUGACUGAGUGGCGGACGGGUGAGUAACGCGUGGGUAACCUGCCUCAUACAGGGGGAUAACAGUUAGAAAUGACUGCUAAUACCGCAUAAGACCACAGCACCGCAUGGUGCAGGGGUAAAAACUCCGGUGGUAUGAGAUGGACCCGCGUCUGAUUAGGUAGUUGGUGGGGUAACGGCCUACCAAGUCGACGAUCAGUAGCCGACCUGAGAGGGUGACCGGCCACAUUGGGACUGAGACACGGCCCAAACUCCUACGGGAGGCAGCAGUGGGGAAUAUUGCACAAUGGGGGAAACCCUGAUGCAGCGACGCCGCGUGAGCGAUGAAGUAUUUCGGUAUGUAAAGCUCUAUCAGCAGGGAAGAAAAUGACGGUACCUGACUAAGAAGCACCGGCUAAAUACGUG
RNAcentral lists this ribosomal RNA (479 nucleotides) under uncultured bacterium. Its description in RNAcentral is "partial 16S ribosomal RNA". It matches the Rfam family "Bacterial small subunit ribosomal RNA", at positions 28 to 507 of the family's 1533-position model. The record is from RNAcentral.